UACGAAGGGGGCUAGCGUUGUUCGGAAUUACUGGGCGUAAAGCGUGCGCAGGCGGCUUUCCAAGUCAGUGGUGAAAGCCCGGAGCUCAACUCCGGAAAUGCCAUUGAAACUGUGAAGCUUGAGAACGAGAGAGGAGAGUGGAAUUCCCAGUGUAGAGGUGAAAUUCGUAGAUAUUGGGAAGAACACCGGUGGCGAAGGCGGCUCUCUGGACCGAUACUGACGCUGAGGCGCGAAAGCGUGGGGAGCAAACAGG
RNAcentral lists this ribosomal RNA (253 nucleotides) under uncultured bacterium. RNAcentral's name for it is "partial 16S ribosomal RNA". It matches the Rfam family "Bacterial small subunit ribosomal RNA", at positions 524 to 776 of the family's 1533-position model. The record is from RNAcentral.